UAGGAAUAUUCCACAAUGGGGGCAACCCUGAUGGAGCAACGCCGCGUGGAGGAUGAAGGCCUUCGGGUUGUAAACUUCUUUUCUCUGCGAUGAAUAUGACAGUAACAGAGGAAUAAGGGUCUGCUAACUACGUGCCAGCAGCCGCGGUCAUACGUAGGACCCAAGCGUUAUCCGGAUUGAUUGGGCGUAAGGAGUUGCGUAGGUGGUUUGUCAAGCGAAUAGUGAAAUCUUGUGGCUCAACCAUGAGGCUAUUAUUCGAACUGGCAAACUCGAGAACAGGAGAGGUAUCUGGAAUUCCCAGUGUAGGAGUGAAAUCCGUAGAUAUUGGGAGGAACACCAAUGGCGAAAGCAGGAUACUGGACUGUUUCUGACACUAAGGCACGAAAGCGUGGGGAGCGAA
This 400-nucleotide ribosomal RNA is filed under the name uncultured bacterium. RNAcentral describes it as "bacterial SSU rRNA". It matches the Rfam family "Bacterial small subunit ribosomal RNA", at positions 356 to 772 of the family's 1533-position model. The record is from RNAcentral.